GUUUUUCUCCCUCUCUCUCCCUUCGUCUCUUUCCUUCCAUCUUCCAUCUUUCACUCCCUCCAUCAUCUUCACUAAAUCCUCCAAAAUCACCGUCAGAAUCGGACAAGAAGAAAGAAGGGACAUCCAUAGUCAAAGUUGGAGUUGGCUCAAUUCUAAACCGAACAAAGAGAGUUCAGAGUGGUGUUUCGUAUUGGGACUGCGCGGCGUUAAUUUUUCCACCUCAUUCAAACGAUAACAAAGAAGAAGAAAACAAAUAACAUGGCUAUCACAGGUUCUGGUUUUGGGCAGCCACAAUUCAUUUCAAGCACUGGCAACCAAAGCUUUUCCAACGCGCCACUCAUUGAGAACUCAGAUACUAAUCAAGUUGUUGUGCCUGAUGAUUUGAUGAAGAUGAUGUAGAGAAUGGAAGAUGGAAGAUGGAAGGAAAGAGACAGAGGGAGAGAGAGACGGAGAAAAGCUGAGAAAGAAUGACUAGUGUCAGAAAAAGAAAAAUGACGUGACAUUACACCGUUAGCCAUAUCAACUGGUUUUUAACGGUGUUAGUUUUGGAGGAUUAAAAUUAAAGUUUUCUUAAGGAGAAUGACUAAGAUGUACCUUACUUUGAAAGAGGGACUAAAACCAAAACCG
Long non-coding RNA from Vigna radiata var. radiata (mung bean), 627 nucleotides. RefSeq lists it as uncharacterized. The transcript has 3 exons. Lineage: Eukaryota; Viridiplantae; Streptophyta; Magnoliopsida; Fabales; Fabaceae. The record is from RefSeq and is a predicted model, not a curated record.